This 253-nucleotide ribosomal RNA is filed under the name uncultured bacterium. RNAcentral's name for it is "partial 16S ribosomal RNA". It matches the Rfam family "Bacterial small subunit ribosomal RNA", at positions 524 to 776 of the family's 1533-position model. The record is from RNAcentral.
UACGAAGGGGGCUAGCGUUGUUCGGAAUUACUGGGCGUAAAGGGCGCGUAUGCGGCUCAUGAAGGCUGUGGUGAAAGUCCGGGGCUCAACCUCGGAUCGGCCGUGGCGACUCGUGGGCUGGAGCACUGUAGAGGCGGGUGGAAUUCCGGGUGUAGCGGUGGAAUGCGUAGAGAUCCGGAAGAACACCAGUGGCGAAGGCGGCCCGCUGGGCAGUGGCUGACGCUGAGGCGCGACAGCGUGGGGAGCAAACAGG